CCUACGGGAGGCAGCAGUAGGGAAUCUUCCACAAUGAGCGAAAGCUUGAUGGAGCGACACAGCGUGCACGAAGAAGGUUUUCGGCUCGUAAAGCUCUGUUAUUGGAGAAGAACAUUCGUAAUAGUAACUGUUCACGCAGUGACGGUAUCCAACCAGAAAGUCACGGCUAACUACGUGCCAGCAGCCGCGGUAAUACGUAGGUCGCAAGCGUUAUCCGGAGUUAUUGGGCGUAAAGCGAUCGCAGGCGGUUGAUUAGGUCUGGUGUGAAAGCCUUCGGCUUAACCGAAGAAGUGCAUCGGAAAACGGGAAAAUGGAGUGCAGAAGAGGAAAGGGGAACUCCAGGUGGAGAGGGGGAAAGCGGAGAUAGAGGGAAGAAAACCAGGGGCGAAGGGGGCUGGCUGGGAUGCAAACGACGCGGAGGCGAGAAAGCAUGGGUAGCGAACAGGAUUAGAUACCCGUGUAGGC
This 465-nucleotide ribosomal RNA is filed under the name uncultured bacterium. RNAcentral describes it as "partial 16S ribosomal RNA". It matches the Rfam family "Bacterial small subunit ribosomal RNA", at positions 338 to 795 of the family's 1533-position model. The record is from RNAcentral.